UUCAAUUUAUAAUGAUCUAUCAGUGGUCUUAUAUUCCCAACAUCGGAUCGGUACAGCUUUCUUGUACUUGCCUAAUUGUUUCCUAAAUUGAUCUUCUAUAGAUGCCUAAGUACAAAUAGUUUGCAUUAUUCAAGUUGACAACACAUUAACUUUAAUUGGAUGUGUAUCAAUAUUCAAGGAUUCCAUAGAUUUUCUGAAUGAAAUAUGAUUUUGGAUAUGAUGUUUAAUAUUCUUCGCCAUCAACUGUCUCUGAUGAACUCCCUCCACCCUCCUCUCCCC
This 279-nucleotide long non-coding RNA is filed under the name Mytilus galloprovincialis (Mediterranean mussel). Lineage: Eukaryota; Metazoa; Mollusca; Bivalvia; Mytilida; Mytilidae. The record is from RNAcentral.